UAGGGAAUCUUCCGCAAUGGACGAAAGUCUGACGGAGCAACGCCGCGUGAGCGAAGAAGGCCUUCGGGUCGUAAAGCUCUGUUGUCAGGGAAGAACAAGUACCGGAGUAACUGCCGGUACCUUGACGGUACCUGACGAGAAAGCCACGGCUAACUACGUGCCAGCAGCCGCGGUAAUACGUAGGUGGCAAGCGUUGUCCGGAAUUAUUGGGCGUAAAGCGCGCGCAGGCGGUCCUUUAAGUCUGAUGUGAAAGCCCCCGGCUCAACCGGGGAGGGUCAUUGGAAACUGGGGGACUUGAGUGCAGGAGAGGGAAGUGGAAUUCCACGUGUAGCGGUGAAAUGCGUAGAGAUGUGGAGGAACACCAGUGGCGAAGGCGGCUCUCUGGUCUGUAACUGACGCUGAGGAGCGAAAGCGUGGGGAGCAAACAGGAUUAGAUACCCUGGUAGUCCACGCCGUAAACGAUGAGUGCUAGGUGUUAGGGGGUUUCCGCCCCUUAGUGCUGCAGUUAACGCAUUAAGCACUCCGCCUGGGGAGUACGGCCGCAAGGCUGA
RNAcentral lists this ribosomal RNA (551 nucleotides) under uncultured compost bacterium. RNAcentral's name for it is "bacterial SSU rRNA". It matches the Rfam family "Bacterial small subunit ribosomal RNA", at positions 355 to 897 of the family's 1533-position model. The record is from RNAcentral.